This 186-nucleotide ribosomal RNA is filed under the name Rhizanthella gardneri. RNAcentral describes it as "partial 18S ribosomal RNA". It matches the Rfam family "Eukaryotic small subunit ribosomal RNA", at positions 1651 to 1831 of the family's 1831-position model. The record is from RNAcentral. Lineage: Eukaryota; Viridiplantae; Streptophyta; Magnoliopsida; Asparagales; Orchidaceae.
CCCUGCCCUUUGUACACACUGCCCGUCGCUCCUACCGAUUGAAUGGUCCGAUGAAGUGCUCGAAUUGUUGUGAUGUUAGGUGGUUAGCCGCUCAUGAUGCUGCGAGAAGUCCAUUGAACCUUAUCAUUUAGAGGAAAGAGAAGUCAUAAUAAGGUUUUCAUAGGUGAAUCUGCAGAAGGAUCAUUA